Molecule: long non-coding RNA, 664 nt
Organism: Athene cunicularia (burrowing owl)
Lineage: Eukaryota; Metazoa; Chordata; Aves; Strigiformes; Strigidae
Exons: 3
Source: RefSeq, a predicted model, not a curated record
GGCUGAGUGCUGUAGGGAGAGUAUGUGUGAAGAGAAAAGCAAGGCUGCAACAGCCCGCUGAAGCGUGCUCAAGGUCAGCCCCCCUCACAGAAGACCAAGAGGUCACGUUUGACUUAGAAGGAAUCACGAAGAUCAGUUUCAUGAGUGACAUAACUGGAGCCAUUAGGAAGCUCAUCCAAGAGUAAUCAUCCAUCAAAGGCACUCAGCCCAGGGGUGUGCUUGCCACCCUUCAGCAAUGGAUGAAGCGGGCAGUGACUCCACCAGCAUGAGUAUGCAGGAGGUCACUUUCUCCACAACCAGUGCUGCUCCAGCAGAUCGAUAGGUGAAAAGCAACCCAAACUGGUUUGAAACAUGGAGUACCUCUCACAUGGUCAUUGAGAGGAAGACUUUCUGGACAGUCUCUAUGAAACCUCAACACUGUUUUGGAUUGGUAUUUACUUCCAAGCGUGCCAGCAGUGCCAACAUGACAAAAGAGAACUAGGAGUAAGGGCUACAGCUGCUCCUCUAACAUUGCUGGGACAGCCUCCAGAAUAAAUUUCCAGCUCCUACUUGUACUGGAUAUAUCUUCUAUGCCAAUGCCUCUGGAAGGGACCUGAACUGGAGGAGGUUUGGCACUUCAUCUGUGCUGUGUAGAAUCCAGCAAUAAAUUAUUCCAGUAUGAAGG